AGCUCCACCAGUUUUGUGUAUUGCUUUCUCACAGAUACCAAUUCUAACUUUCCAUAUUCACAUUAAGUUAGAACAAUGCUACCUAAAUAAUUACUAUAAACUAUGCCGUUCCCUGUAAGAGAUGUUAUCAUCAUCAUCGGACAGACUGAUUAAGAAAUUAGGCAACAUAACUCUUAACAUGAAACCCACUGGCAUUUAAUAUGUAAAGCCUUUAUUUAACCUUAACUAGAUUGCCCG
Non-coding RNA from Pelobates cultripes (western spadefoot toad), 237 nucleotides. The record is from the annotation of a GenBank genome assembly. NCBI's taxonomy places the organism in Eukaryota, Metazoa, Chordata, Amphibia, Anura, Pelobatidae.